CAGUUUAAACUGUCAUUUCUGGAGACCGGAGCCUUGAACCAGGGCCUGAGCAGAACCCAGUUGACUCCAGAACGACUAACAACGGCUCUGUCUGCAGUUCUGACUAAUCAGACACCACCCCAUCAGCUCUUAAGUUCACCUCCGCUGCCACCUGCCGAUGCGGGACCUGAAUGUGGCCAAGAGUUCUGCAGACUGGGUUGUGUGUGCUCCAGCCUCCAGCAUCGGGAAAAAGAACGUGUCCACUGCAAACGGCCCGAGUGCAUGUUUGACUGUACCUGCUCUGACAUUACGACCCACAUGGAGCCGACAGCCCAGUCUCGCCUGGGUUUCAGUGCUACUAAACUGUGGAAACUCAACACUUGUGAUCCAGAUCCAG
This is a long non-coding RNA of Nematolebias whitei (Rio pearlfish), 376 nucleotides long. RefSeq lists it as uncharacterized. Lineage: Eukaryota; Metazoa; Chordata; Actinopteri; Cyprinodontiformes; Rivulidae. The record is from RefSeq and is a predicted model, not a curated record. The transcript has 3 exons.